GCUUUUGAUAGCUUAGUUGGCAGAGCGGAGGACUGUAGCUAUCCUUAGGUCGUUGGUUCAAAUCACGAAUUU
Non-coding RNA from Caenorhabditis briggsae, 72 nucleotides. The record is from the annotation of a RefSeq genome assembly. NCBI's taxonomy places the organism in Eukaryota, Metazoa, Nematoda, Chromadorea, Rhabditida, Rhabditidae.